Long non-coding RNA from Alosa alosa (allis shad), 633 nucleotides. RefSeq lists it as uncharacterized. The transcript is spliced from 2 exons. The record is from RefSeq and is a predicted model, not a curated record. Lineage: Eukaryota; Metazoa; Chordata; Actinopteri; Clupeiformes; Clupeidae.
CUGCAUCUCCGCAUUCUCGAUCUCCAGCUCAUGCACCUGUAAGGUGCGGGCGAAUCAGUUAGACAUGACGAGACAGUUAGAAGAGUGAUAAUACAGCCCAAACUAUGUCCAGACCAACCAUCAAAGCAAUAGGGUGAGAUGUCUUCAGCUGGCGCCCCCCGACAAGAUCUGACCUACGGGCGGCUGCGGCAUAUCUUUUAUACCCCUUCUCGCACCAUCCCCAAACACACCUGUUAUCCAAUCAGCCUUAAGUAAUAUCCAUUAUAUUGGUGGAAAUCAUCUGUCUAUCAUGCAUAAAAAUAUAUGCAAAACUGUGUAACUUUGGGUUUUCUGGUUUUCUCCAGUUUUCUUAUAAUGAAGACUUUCUUAUCUCGUACUCUAUAUGAGGUAGCUUCUACCUGGUGCUUGUCCUUGCUCUGUCCCAACCAGCUGAUGUCAUCACCUUCACCUUGACCAUCUAAUGAGGACAGUCUCCUCCCGGCUUCUACAGUACUUUCCACUUACUCCCACCGCUCUGAUUGUUAGUCUGGGUUGCUCAUUAUUUUUUAAUGACUUUGAAGUGCUUACAGUAAAUACAACAAUAUCAAAGUUUAUGAAACCAUUAAAGUCAGUCUCUUGAAUCAUGAAAAAGCA